UCCAGACUCCUACGGGAGGCAGCAGUGGGGGAUAUUGCACAAUGGGGGGAACCCUGAUGCAGCGACGCCGCGUGGGUGAAGGAGCGUUUCGGCGCGUAAAGCCCUCUCGGCAGGGAAGAAGGAGGACGGUACCUGACUAAGAAGCCCCGGCUAACUACGUGCCAGCAGCCGCGGUAAUACGUAGGGGGCAAGCGUUAUCCGGAUUUACUGGGUGUAAAGGGGGCGCAGACGGCAGCGCAAGCCAGGAGUGAAAGCCCGGGGCCCAACCCCGGGACUGCUCUUGGAACUGCGCGGCUGGAGUGCAGGAGGGGCAGGCGGAAUUCCUGGUGUAGCGGUGAAAUGCGUAGAUAUCAGGAGGAACACCGGUGGCGAAGGCGGCCUGCUGGACUGCGACUGACGUUGAGGCCCGAAAGCGUGGGGAGCAAACAGGAUUAGAUACCCCAGUAGUC
Molecule: ribosomal RNA, 449 nt
Filed under: uncultured bacterium
Lineage: Bacteria
Description: bacterial SSU rRNA
Rfam family: Bacterial small subunit ribosomal RNA
Source: RNAcentral